This is a long non-coding RNA of Papaver somniferum (opium poppy), 1292 nucleotides long. RefSeq lists it as uncharacterized. The record is from RefSeq and is a predicted model, not a curated record. Lineage: Eukaryota; Viridiplantae; Streptophyta; Magnoliopsida; Ranunculales; Papaveraceae. The transcript is spliced from 8 exons.
AGGCUAAUAGUGACAUUAAUUUAAUCUGGGUUUCACUUCUAUAUCUUCGACUUCAACUCUCCCAAAGAGCUACCCCUUUUUCUUCCACAAAACACCCCACACACCAUCGGAAUCCUUUUUUCCUAAAGUGAAGCUCAUCAAUAAGAUCUACAUAUCAGUGCGGUUUUUAAAGACGAUUCAAGCAGAAGAGUUAGAUUAAUAUCAUUGUGGAUCAGCGUGUUAGACAGUCUCCUGAAAUGCCAGUCUCAAUGUGUUAAGUGGUGCUAAAAAUGGGUCUUUGUUUCGAAACUCCAGCUCUAUUUGUUUUUCACAGAACGCAGUAUAUUUUCGAUUCUCAAGGAAGGAAGAAGACCAUUUGUGGGAAAGUUUCUGUUGCAAAUCCCACCCCAAGUUUGAUUUUGAUUUUUGAAGUUAUUUAAUUUUGGGUUUUCUGUUAUUUGACUAUUUCUAGUAUGAUUCCACACAAGACCAAGCGAGGCUGCUGUAGUUUUUAACCGAGGCUUAUGAGGGUAUUCCAACACCAUGGUUAUCCCUGAUGCUCUCAAUAGAUGCAUGAAUAGAGCUUGGCCUGGUCUUGGAGAAGCUCUAAAAGGUAGCAUUGAGAAUAAGAUUCAUGGGAUGGCAACGGAACAAGGAUCGUUGAUGGAAAUUGUAUCCAGAAAAUAUAGUGAUAACUUCAAAGGCUUGAACCACUACUGCUGAUGGAUUUAAUGUUGGUGGUCUGGUGUGCUGGUGGUGCUGUUAGGCGAGUGAGGUUGCCGCUGUUGUUAGUGGUGGCGCUUGGGGUGUUGAUGUUGUGACUUGGCAGUUGUAUUUGUAUUGUUGGACUGCAUUUGACUUGGCAAUAGAGUGGGAGAGACUAUACCUGCACGAAGACCUGAUAUAUUUCCAGUCCAACUUAACGGAAGCAACGGUUUCACCACCAUUGUCAGCAGAUCCUCCAGAAGAAAAAGAAAAGGAGGAAGAUGAUCUUGAAGCUGCAAUGAUGUCUUGGUUGAUGGUAAGAUCACUGUUGCUGCUGGAUAAGGAAAUUUUGGAAAGGGUUGUCCUUCUGCAGUUGUGCUCUCAAGCAAGCCAGUGCCAAGGUCAUAAUGACUGAAAUUGUUGUUGAAAUUUUUAGUAUCACUUCUCUAUAAGAACCUUGAACUUAUUAAUUGGCAGCUGAAUCCUUUUUUUUAUGAGUUUGGACUAAAUUUUAUGAAUGCAAUUCAAUGUAAUGGAGCUGUCAUUUUGUAUCAAAUGAAUCCGGUUUUAUAUGGAAUUUGAAUUUGGAAUUGUUCAUUUGAAUUUUA